Molecule: ribosomal RNA, 492 nt
Filed under: uncultured bacterium
Lineage: Bacteria
Description: partial 16S ribosomal RNA
Rfam family: Bacterial small subunit ribosomal RNA
Source: RNAcentral
AGUGAACGCUGGCGGUAGGCCUAACACAUGCAAGUCGAACGGCAGCACAGUAAGAGCUUGCUCUUACGGGUGGCGAGUGGCGGACGGGUGAGGAAUACAUCGGAAUCUACUUUUUCGUGGGGGAUAACGUAGGGAAACUUACGCUAAUACCGCAUACGACCUACGGGUGAAAGCAGGGGACCUUCGGACCUUGCGCGAUUGAAUGAGCCGAUGUCGGAUUAGCUAGUUGGCGGGGUAAAGGCCCACCAAGGCGACGAUCCGUAGCUGGUCUGAGAGGAUGAUCAGCCACACUGGAACUGAGACACGGUCCACACUCCUACGGGAGGCAGCAGUGGGGAAUAUUGGACAAUGGGCGCAAGCCUGAUCCAGCCAUACCGCGCGGGUGAAGAAGGCCUUCGGGUUGUAAAGCCCUUUUGUUGGGAAAGAAAAGCAGCAGGUUAAUACCCCGCUGUUCUGACGGUACCCAAAGAAUAAGCACCGGCUAACUUCGUG